UGAUUAAGCCAUGCGAGUCAUAUGUUCUUCGUGAACAUGGCGUACUGCUCAGUAACACGUGGAUAACCUGCCCUUGGGACCGGGAUAACCCCGGGAAACUGGGGAUAAUACCGGAUAACGCAUAUCUGCUGGAAUGCUUUAUGCGUAAAAUGGAUUUGUCUGCCCAAGGAUGGGUCUGCGGCCUAUCAGGUAGUAGUGGGUGUAAUGUACCUACUAGCCUACGACGGGUACGGGUUGUGAGAGCAAGAGCCCGGAGAUGGAUUCUGAGACAUGAAUCCAGGCCCUACGGGGCGCAGCAGGCGCGAAAACUUUACAAUGCGGGAAACCGUGGUAAGGGGACACCGAGUGCCAGCAUCAUAUGUUGGCUGUCCAGAUGUGUAAAAUACAUCUGUUAGCAAGGGCCGGGCAAGACCGGUGCCAGCCGCCGCGGUAACACCGGCGGCCCGAGUGGUGAUCGUGAUUAUUGGGUCUAAAGGGUCCGUAGCCGGUUUGGUCAGUCCUCCGGGAAAUCUGACGGCUCAACCGUUAGGCUUUCGGUGGAUACUGCCAGACUUGGAACCGGGAGAGGUAAGAGGUACUACAGGGGUAGGAGUGAAAUCUUGUAAUCCCUGUGAGACC
This 618-nucleotide ribosomal RNA is filed under the name uncultured archaeon. RNAcentral describes it as "bacterial SSU rRNA". It matches the Rfam family "Archaeal small subunit ribosomal RNA", at positions 41 to 658 of the family's 1478-position model. The record is from RNAcentral.